Molecule: non-coding RNA, 28 nt
Filed under: Mus musculus (house mouse)
Lineage: Eukaryota; Metazoa; Chordata; Mammalia; Rodentia; Muridae
Source: RNAcentral
UAAAGCAAAGACUCGAGUCUACAGGGAC